This 1013-nucleotide long non-coding RNA is filed under the name Capra hircus (goat). RNAcentral's name for it is "lncRNA (ENSCHIG00010026302.1)". The record is from RNAcentral. Lineage: Eukaryota; Metazoa; Chordata; Mammalia; Artiodactyla; Bovidae.
AUCUCUUUAACUAGGCAAAAUGGAUAUGACAAAGGACCUGAUCAAAAGCCCCCCAAAGACAUCAAGUGCUGAUCAGUGCACACUGUCAACCUUACCAGUAUUUCAGAAAAGUCUGCAGAGCAUUACUCCUUCCGCCUGCCUGCCUCCAAUAUAACUUAUCACCAGUACAUAACCUUGGUAAGGCUUGUGGACAGCUACUGCCCACACACAUUUAGUUGUUCUUUUCAGCAAGAUGUCACAUCAUAAAAAAUAGGCUUCUUCCUCAAAAUAAUGUAGAUUUUUUUAAACUGAAGAUAUAAUGGGUAAUGGAGAAGACAGUUUAGAUUGCCUAUACCACAGUGAUACUUAGUAAUAUCUCUAUAAUACAUCUUAGAUCUAUUCCCAAAUGUUCUUUCUGGCUGACUUAUGUUCAUGUCCUAAUCUCUUCCAGAGCCUCCAAAACCUUAACUGUUUUCUGGAGCCCUUCAGCUCUGUUCACACUUCACUUCACAAAACAUAUCAAAGCUUGCUGGCCAGUCAGCUUUUUGCCCCUAAGAAAUCAAUUCAGGUUCAGAGGUUAUCUAGUGUUACUGAAGUCUGUCCCUAAAGCUUUAGGUCAGGAUUCCAGGAAGCAAAUCCUGUUCUCCAGGAAGCAAAGUAUUAACACUCAAGAAGGGUAUAUGGGUGAGAGUGUGGGAAGAAAGAGAGAAGCAAUUCUGAUUUAAAAGAAGCAAGAUUUUCUUUUCCUCUAUGUGCUAACAUCUGGAAAUGUAUUCCCAUCUUUAGACUAAGCUGGUGCCUAGAAUCAAUAAAUUAAACACAAGAUCUCAUUUGAGAUAAAUGAUAAAUGAUGAAAUAAAAAAUUAUAGUGCCUAAAUUAAUUCACCAUUUAGCGUGUCUCAAUAGAUAGUUUUAAUCUAAAAUAGACUGUGGGCAGAGUUAAGUUCAAGGAAAUUGGAAGUAAAUAAUAAGUUACUGUUUUAAAUGAUUUUAAAAAAGGGUAGCCAGUAAAAUAUCAUAAAUAUAUUCAAGAC